RNAcentral lists this non-coding RNA (61 nucleotides) under Azadinium spinosum. The record is from RNAcentral. Lineage: Eukaryota; Dinophyceae; Gonyaulacales; Amphidomataceae.
GCACAGGCAUGCCGUGAGCGCUCGUACCACAGAGGGCGCCAACUGAACGGGGCUCACUCUC